GCUACGGGAGGCAGCAGUGAGGAAUAUUGGUCAAUGGGCGCUAGCCUGAACCAGCCAAGUAGCGUGAAGGAUGACUGCCCUAUGGGUUGUAAACUUCUUUUAUAUGGGAAUAAAGUGCAGUAUGUAUACUGCUUUGCAUGUACCUUAUGAAUAAGGAUCGGCUAACUCCGUGCCAGCAGCCGCGGUAAUACGGAGGAUUCGAGCGUUAUCCGGAUUUAUUGGGUGUAAAGGGAGCGUAGGCGGGUUGUUAAGUCAGUUGUGAAAGUUUGCGGCUCCACCUUAAAAUUGCAGUUGUUACGGGCAUCCUUGAGUACAGUAGAUGUAGGCGGACUUCUUGUUGUAGCGGUGACAUGCUUAGAUCUCACGCAGAACUCCGAUUGCGACGGCAGCCUGCUGGACUGUACCUGACGCUGAUGCUCGAAAGUGUGGGUAUCAAACAGGAUUAGAUACCCCGGUAGUC
RNAcentral lists this ribosomal RNA (460 nucleotides) under uncultured bacterium. Its description in RNAcentral is "partial 16S ribosomal RNA". It matches the Rfam family "Bacterial small subunit ribosomal RNA", at positions 338 to 795 of the family's 1533-position model. The record is from RNAcentral.